RNAcentral lists this ribosomal RNA (240 nucleotides) under uncultured Lactobacillus sp. RNAcentral describes it as "partial 16S ribosomal RNA". It matches the Rfam family "Bacterial small subunit ribosomal RNA", at positions 122 to 354 of the family's 1533-position model. Lineage: Bacteria; Bacillati; Bacillota; Bacilli; Lactobacillales; Lactobacillaceae. The record is from RNAcentral.
UAACCUGCCCAAGAGAUCGGGAUAACACCUGGAAACAGAUGCUAAUACCGGAUAACAACAGAUGAUGCCUAUCAACUGUUUAAAAGAUGGUUCUGCUAUCACUCUUGGAUGGACCUGCGGUGCAUUAGCUAGUUGGUAAGGUAACGGCUUACCAAGGCGAUGAUGCAUAGCCGAGUUGAGAGACUGAUCGGCCACAUUGGGACUGAGACACGGCCCAAACUCCUACGGGAGGCAGCAGAC